GCUGGGUUUUAAUGGGUUACACUAUAAUUGAGGUACUUAAUAAAAUUAUGCAAUCGGGUCUUUUAUUUUGGGUUGAUUUCAAUGAUUGUUGCUCUUGUUUAUGUAUGCCCUUGUUCCCAUGUGAGUAAUCUUUAGGAAAUUCUGUAUCCAUUCGCUGUUUUAUCUAUCAUAAGUAUAUAGACACGCUUCUUGAAUAGCAUUAAUGCGCCAGGAAAGUGAAUGGAUUUGAAGUUUGAAAGCUUGUGCA
This 247-nucleotide unclassified non-coding RNA is filed under the name Hevea brasiliensis (rubber tree). The record is from RNAcentral. Lineage: Eukaryota; Viridiplantae; Streptophyta; Magnoliopsida; Malpighiales; Euphorbiaceae.